Molecule: ribosomal RNA, 301 nt
Filed under: Abylopsis tetragona
Lineage: Eukaryota; Metazoa; Cnidaria; Hydrozoa; Siphonophorae; Abylidae
Description: SSU rRNA
Rfam family: Eukaryotic small subunit ribosomal RNA
Source: RNAcentral
UGCGAAUGGCUCAUUAAAUCAGUUAUCGUUUAUUUGAUUGUACUUUACUACAUGGAUACCUGUGGUAAUUCUAGAGCUAAUACAUGCGAAAAAUCCCGACUUCUGGAAGGGAUGUAUUUAUUAGAUUAAAAACCAAUGCGAGUCUUCGGGCUCGUUUUCUUGGUGAUUCAUGAUAACUUUUCGAAUCGCAUGGCCUAGCGCCGGCGAUAUUUCAUUCAAAUUUCUGCCCUAUCAACUGUCGAUGGUAAGGUAGUGGCUUACCAUGGUUAUAACGGGUGACGGAGAAUUAGGGUUCGAUUCC